GUUAGCGAUGUCUGAGCUCAGAAGAGAGGCAUGAAAUGAAAAUAUAAAUCUGAAAUUCAUCAAUAUAUUAAAAGUAUCUGAGAAAGGAAACCGAGAUCUGCACAGGGCUUCCCUUUGCCCAUUCAUCUCCCCUCACCCUUUAAACGUAAACUGGAGCCUGCUGCUCACCGACCUAGCAUUGCUCUCACCAUGACUCUCAGCGAUGCUGACGUGCAAAAGCAGAUAAAGCAUAUGAUGGCUUUCAUUGAACAAGAAGCCAAUGAGAAAGCAGAAGAAAUAGAUGCAAAGGCAGAAGAAGAGUUCAACAUAGAGAAAGGUUGGCUUGUGCAAACCCAAAGACUAAAGAUUAUGGAAUAUUAUGAGAAGAAAGAGAAACAGAAUGAGCAGCAGAAGAAAAUCCAGAUGUCCAAUUUGAUGAAUUAAGCGAGACUCAAAGUCCUCAGAGCGAGAGAUGACCUUAUCACAGACCUACUAAAUGAAGCAAAACAGAGACUCAGCAAGGUGGUAAAAGAUACAACCAGGUACCAAGCGCUGCUGGAUGGACUGGUUCUCCAGGGUUUGUACCAGUUGCUGGAGCCCCGAACAAUUGUUCAUUGCAGGAAACAAGAUUUCCCUCUGGUAAAGGCUGCAGUGCAGAAGGCAAUCCCUAUGUACAAAAUUGCCACCAAAAACGAUGUUGAUGUCCAAAUUGACCAGGAGUCCUACCUGCCUGAAGACAUAGCUGGUGGAGUUGAGAUCUAUAAUGGGGAUCGUAAAAUAAAGGUUUCCAACACCCUGGAAAGCCGGCUGGAUCUCAUAGCCCAGCAGAUGACGCCAGAAGUCCGGGGAGCCUUGUUUGGUGCAAAUGCCAACAGGAAGUUUUUGGACUAAGCCUUCAGGAGGUGGAGCUCAUCCUCAGCUCUCCUGCUAUGAUGUGGAAGCUUCUGAUAUUUGAAGAAACACGAAUGUCUCUGUAGCUUCCUCUUUACUGCCCCAGUAUUGCUCUGUAUUUAUCAGUGAUGCUCCUCUUGUCACUCAUGCCUUGCCUAAUUGUUCACAGUGGUGGAAAGCUUCAUGUAAUAUGAUCAGGACCCACCUCCAGUUCAUCUGAAAGUAACACAGUGUCCAGUUGGUUCUCCAGCACUAGGGGAAGGGGCAGAUGGUGGUCACAUGGGCUUCCUGGGUCUCCACUCUCCGUCUGGCCUAGAGGUGAUGUGUUUGGUGUUUGGCCCUGCAGUCCCCACUGUUGAGGCUUAAGGUGCAUGUGGCGCACCACUCCUUCCAGCAGUAGUCGCUUUACUGUUACCUGUUUAGGCCUAGAAGUUUUCCCUCAUCUGUAAAUGUGAUUUAAAAUCUAAGCCAUGAAUAUGCUUUAUUUAUUAAAAGAGUUACAUGGAAAAAAAAAAAAA
This is an RNA transcript of Cercocebus atys (sooty mangabey), 1388 nucleotides long. It is a transcript of the gene named V-type proton ATPase subunit E 1 pseudogene, with no coding region annotated. Lineage: Eukaryota; Metazoa; Chordata; Mammalia; Primates; Cercopithecidae. The transcript has a single exon. The record is from RefSeq and is a predicted model, not a curated record.